CCUACGGGAGGCAGCAGUGGGGAAUAUUGGACAAUGGGGGCAACCCUGAUCCAGCCAUGCCGCGUGUGUGAAGAAGGCCCUCGGGUUGUAAAGCACUUUCAGUGAGGAAGAACGCCUGGUGGUUAAUACCCAUCAGGAAAGACAUCACUCACAGAAGAAGCACCGGCUAACUCCGUGCCAGCAGCCGCGGUAAUACGGAGGGUGCGAGCGUUAAUCGGAAUUACUGGGCGUAAAGCGCGCGUAGGUGGCUUGAUAAGCCGGUUGUGAAAGCCCCGGGCGCAACCUGGGAACGGCAUCCGGAACUGUCAAGCUAGAGUGCAGGAGAGGAAGGUAGAAUUCCCGGUGUAGCGGUGAAAUGCGUAGAGAUCGGGAGGAAUACCAGUGGCGAAGGCGGCCUUCUGGACUGACACUGACACUGAGGUGCGAAAGCGUGCGUAGCAAACAGGAUUAGAUACCCUGGUAGUC
This 465-nucleotide ribosomal RNA is filed under the name Vreelandella stevensii. Its description in RNAcentral is "partial 16S ribosomal RNA". It matches the Rfam family "Bacterial small subunit ribosomal RNA", at positions 338 to 795 of the family's 1533-position model. The record is from RNAcentral. Lineage: Bacteria; Pseudomonadati; Pseudomonadota; Gammaproteobacteria; Oceanospirillales; Halomonadaceae.